RNAcentral lists this long non-coding RNA (265 nucleotides) under Ananas comosus (pineapple). Its description in RNAcentral is "long non-coding RNA (ACOM_LNC010943)". The record is from RNAcentral. Lineage: Eukaryota; Viridiplantae; Streptophyta; Magnoliopsida; Poales; Bromeliaceae.
AAAAUUAGGAAUAAGAAAUAAUGUAUUUUGCAUGCAUUAUAUGUACAAACUUAUACAUUAUAUCUUUUCCAAAUAAAAAAUUAAGAGUCCUAUAGUGAAUCUCAUCUUUUUUUGCUCUAACGAAAAUUUCAAAAAUAACCAAAAAUCGAAAACGAGAAGAUCAAAUUAGAAAAAUGUAAAUAUUUCUGACCAAAAUUCUUUGUGUCGUUGUUGCAAAGAAUCCGAACCGCUCAGGUAAUUAGUGGAGAAUCCGAUUCUGUCCCGA